UACGAAGGGGGCUAGCGUUGCUCGGAAUUACUGGGCGUAAAGGGCGCGUAGGCGGAUAGUUUAGUCAGAGGUGAAAGCCCAGGGCUCAACCUUGGAAUUGCCUUUGAUAUCUGGCUGUCUUGAGUAUGGGAGAGGUGAGUGGAACUCCGAGUUGUAGGGGUGAAAUUCGUAGAUAUUCGGAAGAACACCAGUGGCGAAGGCGACUCACUGGCCCAUUACUGGACGCUGAGGCGCGAAAGCGUGGGAAGCAAACAGG
Molecule: ribosomal RNA, 256 nt
Filed under: uncultured bacterium
Lineage: Bacteria
Description: partial 16S ribosomal RNA
Rfam family: Bacterial small subunit ribosomal RNA
Source: RNAcentral